This is a non-coding RNA of Dipodomys ordii (Ord's kangaroo rat), 65 nucleotides long. Lineage: Eukaryota; Metazoa; Chordata; Mammalia; Rodentia; Heteromyidae. The record is from Rfam.
GGUGGCUCAGUGGUAGAGUGCUUGCCUUGCAUGCAUAAGGCCCUGGGUUCGAUUCCUUAGCACCA